RNAcentral lists this transfer RNA (74 nucleotides) under Enterococcus sp. K18_3. RNAcentral's name for it is "tRNA-Ile". It matches the Rfam family "tRNA". Rfam says of the family: Transfer RNA (tRNA) molecules are approximately 80 nucleotides in length. Lineage: Bacteria; Bacillati; Bacillota; Bacilli; Lactobacillales; Enterococcaceae. The record is from RNAcentral.
GUACCUUUAGCUCAGUUGGUUAGAGCAGACGGCUCAUAACCGUCCGGUCGUAGGUUCGAAUCCUACAGGGUACA